This 690-nucleotide ribosomal RNA is filed under the name uncultured Actinomycetes bacterium. Its description in RNAcentral is "bacterial SSU rRNA". It matches the Rfam family "Bacterial small subunit ribosomal RNA", at positions 51 to 761 of the family's 1533-position model. Lineage: Bacteria; Bacillati; Actinomycetota; Actinomycetes. The record is from RNAcentral.
GAGCGACGCAUGCCGGAGGGGAACCCACUGGUAUGACGGAGCGGCGAACGGGUGAGUAACACGUGAGCAACCUGCCCCGCAGACCGGGAUAGCCCAGGGAAACCUGGAUUAAUACCGGAUGCCCUCGGGAGAUCGCAUGAUUCUCCGAGGAAAAGCUUUUGCGCUGUGGGAUGGGCUCGCGACCUAUCAGCUAGUUGGUGGGGUAAAGGCCUACCAAGGCAUCGACGGGUAGCUGGUCUGAGAGGACGAUCAGCCACACUGGGACUGAGACACGGCCCAGACUCCUACGGGAGGCAGCAGCAGGGAAUCUUGCGCAAUGGGCGAAAGCCUGACGCAGCAACGCCGCGUGGGGGAUGAAGGCCUUCGGGUUGUAAACCCCUUUCAGGAGGGAAGAAAUUGACGGUACCUCCAGAAGAAGGACCGGCCAACUACGUGCCAGCAGCCGCGGUAAUACGUAGGGUCCAAGCGUUAUCCGGAAUCAUUGGGCGUAAAGAGCUCGUAGGCGGUUCAACAAGUCGGCUGUGAAAGUCCGAGGCUCAACCUCGGAAUUGCAGUCGAUACUGUUGUGACUCGAGUCCGGUAGAGGAGAAUGGAAUUCCCGGUGUAGCGGUGAAAUGCGCAGAUAUCGGGAGGAACACCAGUAGCGAAGGCGGUUCUCUGGGCCGGCACUGACGCUGAGGAGCGAAAGCG